UAGGGAAUCUUCCACAAUGGACGCAAGUCUGAUGGAGCAACGCCGCGUGAGUGAAGAAGGGUUUCGGCUCGUAAAGCUCUGUUGUUAAAGAAGAACGUGGGUAAGAGUAACUGUUUACCCAGUGACGGUAUUUAACCAGAAAGCCACGGCUAAAUACGUGCCAG
Molecule: ribosomal RNA, 164 nt
Filed under: uncultured bacterium
Lineage: Bacteria
Description: partial 16S ribosomal RNA
Rfam family: Bacterial small subunit ribosomal RNA
Source: RNAcentral